RNAcentral lists this microRNA precursor (126 nucleotides) under Myotis lucifugus (little brown bat). RNAcentral's name for it is "mir-9193 microRNA precursor family". It matches the Rfam family "mir-9193 microRNA precursor family". The record is from Rfam by way of RNAcentral. Lineage: Eukaryota; Metazoa; Chordata; Mammalia; Chiroptera; Vespertilionidae.
CGUGCACCAGUGGGGUCCCUCGGCCUGGCCUGCGGGAUCGGGCCGAAACUGGCUCUCUGACAUACCCUGAGGAAUACCAGAUUGCAAGAGGGUGCAGGCCAGGCUGAGGGACCCCACUGGUGCACA